This 639-nucleotide long non-coding RNA is filed under the name Cricetulus griseus (Chinese hamster). RNAcentral's name for it is "lncRNA (ENSCGRG00000024347.1)". Lineage: Eukaryota; Metazoa; Chordata; Mammalia; Rodentia; Cricetidae. The record is from RNAcentral.
CCCCCUCAGCCCUGACUGGGAAAAUGAGGCCCCUCGGGAAGCGGUGGAGAGCCAGUGCGGUCUGUCGGGAGGGUGGUGCGGCACGCCAGCGCUCCUGCUCUUUCGUCUAGGGACCUGUUGCUCACUGCUCACAGCCGCAGGAUGAAGUUACCCACACACACUGCAAGGUGGUUUCUCAGACUCCUUCUGGGCUUCAAGCUCGCUCUUACUGUCGACACUUGGAAACCCAGUCCGUCCACUCUGUGGAGGACCUGCUUCUUAGCAAUGUGGCACCCAUACUCUUGCACUGGCAAAUUUCAAACCAUAGUAACGAGUAUAAAGUGGCCGGUCAGUGGAAGUGAAGAGGAGAAGGAGAGACUUGAGGAGGAAUGUCUUCCUUGUGACCCCGGAGGAGGCGGAAAGGAAACUAAAGAAACCGCCCUUUCAAGUCUUCAUAUUCAGAAAUCCCACUUCCGGGGCUUGCGCGCAAUGAAGCGGAAUUUCAAGAAACAGGGAGACAAAGAUUUGUCAAAGAGAUUCAGACAACUGUUGCGAUCGAAUGCGCUGCCUGCUGUCCUUUUCCCUAGAGAGAUCACCCACAUGGCCAUAGUGGGUGAUGGGGGAGGGGCGUCCUCCAGGACCCCAGAGCUUCCCUGGUGA